CAGUGGGUCUAUAGUCACAUGGUAACACAAACACUGGGUCUACAGUCACACAGUUACACAAACACUGGGUCUAUAGUCACAUUGUAACAUGUAAACAUGUACUGUCUGUUUUCAUGAUGAAAGGGUUUUGAUUGUUCAAAGUACCUUCAGUGUAAUUAUAUGGUAUUAUUUUACAAGGUGUACUUUUUUGAUCAUGGGAAUUCCUUGAGUUUAAACUCAAAUGUUGGGGACUUUUGAUUUUAUUGACAUAAAUAUUUAAUGAAUCUCAGGUGUGUUGGUGUUGUGUAGCUAUUUAAAUUGUAUUGGUAUUGUGUAAAAACAAAUUGGGAACUUAUAACUGUGUGUAUAUGUUAAGUGUAGGGAAAGUAUCUAAUCAUAGAAUGGUCUUUUAGAAUAUUGCAACAAGGUCAAGUCUACUAGAAAUUGCAAAUUUAUUAACACUGAACACAUAUUUACUAAAACACAUCAUUGUUACUGUAUAUAACAGAGCAAGGUGCAUCCAGGUUCAUGUUUUAUUGUAGCUUUGUGAUGAAGGACUUGGAAGGUAUUCAUCCUGAUUUACUGCAGUUUGUUCAGGGAAGAUAUCAAAGGGCAUAUCAUUGAAUCAACUCAGACUGCCAAUUUAGUUAAAGAAGCAUUGUCUAAGGCCGAGGCAUUAUCUAAAGAGAAAGUCAUCUAAGGCCGAGGCAUUAUCUAAAGAGAAAGUCAACUAAGGCCAAGGCAUUAGUUAAUGAGAAAGUGCUCUAAGUCCAAGGCAUUAGUUAAAGAGAAAGUGCUCUAAGGCCAAGGCAUUAGUUAAAGAGAAAGUCAACUAAGGCCAAGGCAUUAGUUAAAGAGAAAGUGCUCUAAGGCCAAGGCAUAAGUUUAAGAGAAAGUUCUCUAAGGCCGAGGCAUUAAAUUAGUUAAAGAGAAAGUCAUCUAAGGCCACGGCAUUAAUUAAAGAAAAAAAGUGCUCUGAGGCUGAUGCAUCCGUUAAUGAAAAAACUGCUGAAGACUGUUGGAUAAAGAUGAAGUCAUAUACCGGUAUUAAUAUUUCUUUUUGUAAGAUAAUUCUAGAUUGUUAUGUUUACACUGGUCUAACAUAAGUGUAUGCUGCUAUGCUGAUGUAUAAGUAUGGCUGUUUAUGAUAUAUUUUUAAUACGUUUAUAGAUCCAUAUAUGAUACAGAAUUUUGUUGCUUGUUUGCUGUAUUAUGUGUAUAACUCAGAAAGGAAUAGGGUACUUUUGUCCAUUGUUUCACUCUGAAAAACGCAGUAGACAGGAAAAUAUUUGUAUUUUUGUGAAUGUUGUCUAGACUUGGUUUUUAAAAAAAACUACACAACUGUGAAAUAGGGAAUGUAGAGAAAUGAGUGACAUAAUUUGUAUUUUUGGAUUAUGUGAAUAUUGAUUGUGAUUAUAUCAUGAGAUAUUUAUCAAUAACUUUUGAGAAUUGCUUACUAAUACUAUAUACAUAUAAAAUAUUAAUAUUCUGAAAAAUUCUAGUUGCACAUAAAAAAAAAAAGUUGAUUUGUGUUUAUUUUGCUAGAGAUGUAUAUAUUUUUAUAAGUAUUUUACAUCUAUAUAACUGAUGCUUUGGCUAUCUCCCUGUGAAGCUACACAUUUAUUAUCAUGUGAUAUUUGCCUUUGAAUGAUCAUAACUUCAAGUCAUUCAAAAGCAACAUCUUUACAUUCUAAUUAGGGUCCCACGUGAAAGUGUUGAUGCUCUAUAAUAAUCACUGUGUCCGUCCGUCCGUCCGUCUGUCUGUCUCUCGGUCUUUCUGUCAGUCUGUCUGUCAGCAUUUUUAUUUCGGUGCAAUAACUUGACUUUCCAUGGGCCGAUAAAACCAAAAUUCAUACAGUGCUUCCUUAUUGAAAGAGCUUGCUUAGAAUUGCUUUUCAGCAUCAAAAUUCAAAGGUCAAAUUACUGUUACUAGCUUCAAAUAAACAAAUCACCUUCCAUGCAAUACUUAGUGUUUGCUUAGAAUGGUCUAAAGUUUGAAAGGUCUAAAGUCAAGAUCACUGAGUUUUCUUCAGCCUGAUCAAACUCAAACUUCAUACAGUGCUUCCUUAUCAAAAGUGCUUGCUUGGGAUUGAUUUUCUGUGUCAAAGGUCAAAUUCACUGUUGCAAAAUAUAGAAAAUCAGUGUUCAUGCCAUAAUCUGAGAUUGCUUUUGCAAAUCAAACUGAUACUUCAUACAAUGCUUCUUUCUCAAAGAGCUUGCUUCCAAUUGCUUUUCAGUUUUGAAGGUUAAAAGUCAAGGUCAUGCUUAAUUUAGAUAGAAAUCAAGUGUUCACGGGUAUUAGCUCCAUAUUGUCACAAAUGUAUCAGUUAUGUGUUGUGUUGGCUUUUAUGGCAGAGUGUUCUUAAGGUUUACCAGUAAUCUGUGAGUCUGACUGGCCAUCCAGACUUUCAACUUAAUUGUUUUUCAUGCUUUUUUUCAAUGAAACUUAACAUGGUGUUACACUGUGAUGUGCAGAUGUGCAAAAGGUCAAGGUUGCUAAAAAUACAGCCCAAAAUGAACUGUGAAAAAGUAUCAUUUAAGGCCCUGUACAGAGGUUUAAACAAUGUGAAAUGUUGAAGCACAUUAUGGAUUUUAAAAUAUCCGCAAGGUCAAGAUCAAGGUGGCUGUUACUAAAAAUGUAACUAGGAAUAUACUUUAAAGUACAUCAUAUAAGGCCCUUACAGAGGGCAAAAUGAUCAAAAAUAUCAUAUGCAUGAUGAUACUCUGUGAUAUACAGAUGUGCAAUAGAAAUUUAAAAAGUUACUAUUGUUAAGGUCAUAGUGUAAUUUGUAUAUUUGCAGCAUAUUAGAAGUAAUUCUAUGUCAGUGUAUGACUUUGGUUAGUUCAGUUCAGGUAUAUACACAGACACAUUCCCCGGCUCUCAUAAAUGUGUCAUUAAUCUAGUUUGACUGGUAAAGCUCCUUUUAAAUUUGGUGUUCUUAAUGUUUUAAAACAUAGACAUUUUUUGUUUUUCAGAAUAAUUUGUGUCCCAGUAUGAAGUAAGCAUUGUCUUCCUAUGGUAUUUAUAGAUGUUAUAAAUGACAGAACUUUGCAGGCAAACAUCAUAUUCAGUAGAGGUAUGACAUUUGCCUUUGUAUGCCUAUAAUUUCAAGUCAGUUCAAUACUUAUCUUAAUAUUCUGAUCUAAUUUUCAACUAAAAUAUGUUAUUCAAUAUCCUAGGUCAUGUGAUUGUUAAGUUUUAUUCAGUUUUCAAAAUUCACUUAUUACAAUGUAUGUUAUUUUUGGCCAUAUUCUGAGAAUAUGUAAGCUGGAAUGUCUAUUAUUUAUGUAUUUGUUGCUUGAAUUAAGAAUGAUGUUUAAAUCAUUUGUCUGAUCAUUGAUAUUAUUCCAAGUACAGUGUACUAGGUGAUAGUUCUGCAAGCUGCCCAAAGGAGUGCAUAAAUUAAAAUACUGUGAAAAGUGACUUUACCAAGACACUGUAGGACUGAAUCAUUGUGUCGGAUAUGAGAGUGCAUCAGAAAAGUCCGUGUUAACAAUGACAGUGGAGAUGAUUCAUGUUGCUGUUCUGUUGGAUAUGGUCGGAUGAUACAGAACGUCUUUAAAGUCAGUGGUCGGUAAAGUCAGGUUUAUGAUGUUGAGUCAAGUACCUAGGAGAUAAUAAUAAUAAGUUGAGGAUUUGUAAAUUUCCAUUCCCAACAGGGGAGCCAAUUGUCUGCAGGACAGGGGCUGUAAGAGCGAGGGGCGUCCCUUGGGGUGAUUCUUGGGAGUUAGUUUGGUGCACAUUGGAGGAAUUAAUCACAGAAUUAAAUGUGUAUCCUAUUCCACUGUAUAUGAAAUCCUUUUUUCAUGUGUCUGUGUCAUUUGUCAAAUGGUCUGGGUUUGUCCAGUGGUUAAUUCUUUUUUUGAGUUUUGUUUUUAUAUGCAAUCAAAGGGAUAGCAGUGUUCAUAUCGUUAAGUUGCCAUACUACUAAUAUUCCAUUGUACCGGCUAGUAGUAGUUCAUCUGUCUCUGAGUGUCUGUUAUUUCUUUAUGAUAAUGAUCUGUGAUCUUACAACUUGUUUUGUAAUCAAUUUUAUGUUGCAAAUAAAAAUAUUUACAUUUCCA
Long non-coding RNA from Pecten maximus, 4044 nucleotides. RefSeq lists it as uncharacterized. Lineage: Eukaryota; Metazoa; Mollusca; Bivalvia; Pectinida; Pectinidae. The transcript has 2 exons. The record is from RefSeq and is a predicted model, not a curated record.